This 15819-nucleotide long non-coding RNA is filed under the name Mytilus galloprovincialis (Mediterranean mussel). Lineage: Eukaryota; Metazoa; Mollusca; Bivalvia; Mytilida; Mytilidae. The record is from RNAcentral.
CAACGGACGUUUCCUGGACGUUGUACGGGAAAACACACAAAGAGAAAGUCGUCAAAACAUGAAAGCAUACGCAAACGAUGAUACGGAUUUGUUGACAGCCAUUUCCAGUUAUCAAGUAAGUAGUUAUAAAAAAUGUCUAAAAUAUUUGACUUCUUAUAAUUCAUGGGGGCUUCAAGUUAUAUAGAUUUUGCCACAAGCUAGCCCUCAUACUCAAUAUUCAUAAAUUCCGAACGACAUCACAAAUAUCCAAGUCGUCGUAAAAUCAAUAUAUACGUACAUUCAAGCCCCAGUGAAUAAUUUCUUAAGUACACUCAUUUAAAAUUUGAUUAUUCGUCGCUUUCUUUUGACGCCCAGUGGCAAAUAUUGCACGCAUUUCCAGGAUGGUUAAAGAAAAGUAAGGUAUAUAAAAAAAUGGAGGAUUCCGUUACCACAACGAAAAAUGAUAAAGGAUAUCUAUACGGAGAAGGAAAAGUUCUAACUCCAAUUCUAUGAUCAUACUGUAUAGAAGGGAUGUAUAGAAUGCUCUUUAUAUAUUUAUACGAUCACUUGAUUAUAAAAGUAAUCAUAAAUUUCAUGCUUAAGCUGUGUUGAUAGAAACCAACGAUUUAUAAGUAACGCCUGGAUAUGGGCCUUCUUUUUCUUGAGGGAUCCCUGUACUUUAUAGUUAGGGUCCAUAUAUGGUUAGGGUUAGGGUUAGGGUUUGCUCUAGGUAAAGGUAAGGUUUAAUGUCUAGGUCUAAAUUUAGAAACGGAUGACUAAAAUGAAUAUACAAAGUAUUCAGACUUUUAAUGCACAUCAAUAUUGUGAUACUUUGACGAUUUUUUUAAAUGUAUAUAUAGUUCGAAGUGGGGAAAAACCUGUAUGUCCAAACCUAGUGACCAGUCAUCACUAGUCCUUUUAACUUGAUAAAGUAAGGAUUAUUUUUUUUAUAUAAUCAAAGGUGUAUUAGCUGUCAAAUUCAUGUUCAUCGAUAUGAAUCUAAGUCUAAUAUUUGAUCUAUAACAUACUAAAACAUCGAUAUGAAUCUAAGUCUAAUAUUUGAUCUAUGACAUACUAAACAUCGAUAUGAAUCUAAGUCUAAUAUUUGAUCUAUGACAUACUAAAACAUCGAUAUGAAUCUAAGUCUAAUAUUUGAUCUAUAACAUACUAAAACAUCGAUAUGAAUCUAAGUCUAAUAUUUGAUCUAUGACAUACUAAAACAUAUAGAUCUCCUAAUUAUAAAUAGUUUAAAUUAAAUAAUUUACAAAGCAUGGGCUCAUUUCUAAAAAAAAAGUAAAAUAACAAAAAAUCCGAAAUCAGAGGACAAUUCAAAAUUGAAAGUCCCUAAUCAAAUGACAAAAUCAUCAAAAGCUCAAACAAAUCAACGAUUGGAAAACAAACUGUCAUAUUCAUGACUUGGUACAGGCAUUUUGUAUAUGUAGAAAAUGGUAGAUUAAAUCUGGUUUUAAUGCUAUCUAAAUACUCGUAGUGUUUGUAAUAUUGAUGAAUUAUGUAGAUAUUAAAGUUUCUUUUUUAUCUAUGAAAUAAAUGAAGUAGAAUCAUAACGGAACGUCUUUUUAUUUCAUUGUAGUUGUAGACACUACAAAACUAUCACGGAGAAUGACAAAGGGACCAUGUGCAAUUCAUAAACAAGACCAAAUUUGUGUGAUACUGGUGGAGGGACAUUAUGACAUACUUGAUUAGACAUGAUAGUGUAUAGACCUUUAUUAUUCUAUUGGUGCUUGGAUAUCUAUAACUUUGAACUAAAUGUGUGUGCUCUAUUCAUUGGAAGAACAUAUAUAUACAGAUACAUAUCCAUACCCUGACGUAAGUAUUGAUUAUUGUUUUAAUUUCCAUAGAUCUGAUAACCAGUAUGAAUAACUUUCAUAUCAUUGGACUUAUUUUCAAUCGCCUCUUUUCCAUUGCGAUUGAUUUCAUAUACAGGUCCUACAACGUACCUAUUUAGAUUCUGAUUCAGAUAACUGCAUCCGAUAUCAAACCUGACAAUAAUAAUAAUAAUAAAUGUGUAAUUAUAUUAAAACCAAUGAUGACCAUGAUGACCCUUAAACUGUAGAAACAUAUGUUGUAUAUCAAAUGGUCUACAAGACCAACGUUACACAAACUCUGGGACUAAUACAUUGAAUUUUAUCUAUUAGUCCCAGUCAAACUAUAGUAAAAAAAAAUCGUUGCAGUAUAAAACAUUGUAUUCAUUUUGACUGGGAUAAGUUCUCAGCGAUGAAGACAGGACUUUUGCAUUAUUUCAAUAGAGAUAAGAACCAAAUACGCAUACAACAUGGUAAUGGGAGAUUCGAAACAUUGGCAAACAUUCAUGUGUAACAGUAAAUACAGUAGAUAUUUGUAAAGUUCAUCAUCUAUAGUACACGAGUCCUCAUCUCAUCUUGGACCAAAAGAUAAAGGGAAAUUCAUUCGCUUACGAUUAUUUUUCAAUUUCAUUGUCUCCUCAAAUUUACAUGUAAAUGGUUGUUUUGAUGGCAUUUUUCUGUUCAAAUCUGACGAUACAGUUUUUCUUACUCUCCUUAGAUUUGUAAUUGUAAGCUUGCAUAGGAUAAUUUUUAAUUGCCAUAACCUUACAACAAAGUUGUUAUUCUCGUAUCAAAAGUGAUUAUUUUCAAUUUUUGAACAAAUUAUUUGAAUAUUUUAUAUUUAUACAUCGUAUCUUUUUCCUUCACCCUUUGUUACCUUGUUUUUCUCUAAAUGAUUUAAAGGGGAAAUUCAAAGUGCAAAUUAAUCCGACAUCGUGUAUUCUUUUUAAUGAUAAAUGAUUUUGUACAUUUGUUGCAGUUCCGCAGAAAAAAGGUAUUGGAUAAUUUUGUUUUUAAAAGUAACUGAUUUUUUUUUAUGAAUGUGCAUUCUUUAUGGAAAAUAAUGAAUUUCCUGUAUCCAAAUUUCAAAAUACCAUAUAGCGUUUAAAAGACGAUAAAAAGAAGAAUAAACACCCAUGUACAAAUAAAUACAUUUCAUUCAAUAAGGUAAGACCAUGUUAGAAGUAAACAUUAUACAGUUUUCCUUAUAUAGUGAAAGGGAGGGGGAUCAGGACCUUUUUCGGGACGUCGGGAUCAGGUGGUUUUAAUCUCGGGAUUUCGGGAUUAACCCUUUCGGGGUCCGGGAAUUCUUCUUUUGAAGUUCGGGAUGCCGGGAUUUAUUUCUUUUAAAUUCGGGACCUCGGGAUUUCAUGUUUUUAAAUCCGCGAUUUCGGGAGCAGGACACCUCUGACCCUCUGGUUUACUUUUAUAAAUUUUUAUUUGGAUGGAGAGUUGUCUUAGUGGCACUCAUACCAUUAGAAUAAGUUUAUCCAAUUAUUGAUAAGUUUACCAUGAUCCGUAAACACUAUGAUCACCAUAAUAAUAAGGAUGUGCUGUUCCGUUUGAUUUAAUUUUCCACAGUUUAGGGCACCCACCAUGACUCCCUAACUUGAGACAAUGGUACAAUAGUACAACAUAAGAACAGAUCAAUCAAUGAGCCUGUAGUUCAUAAAGAUGCUUAUUUCUUAUGUAUAUAUUUCCCAGGUCACUUAAUUAAUCUGCCAUAAAAGUUAGUUAAAUUAUUUUAUUUUUUCAGAAUCACUGAUAAAAUCUUCUUCCCACGUUUGAUAAUUAACCUUAUCUUUCUUAACGGGAUUCCAUUCGUACUUGCCUUGGGGUGGUCGCCGAAGAAAUUUCAACUAAAUAUAUCAUAGUUAAAGUCACUGCAUGCGGAAAAGAUGUCGGCAAAAAAGAGUAAAAGAUAAUAAUUCAAUAGCAGUAUCUUAUUGAAGAUUUGGAUCAAAUAAAGGAUUUCUCUCAAAAGGAAGUUUAUGUGCACGUGUUUUCAAAUAAAACUAAAAGUGAAGUGAAACUUUAAAAAUAUACUUUCGAUCAAUAAGCUUGCCGAAGGGCUCUUACAUGUAUGUUUAAAUCUAUUUUCUAUAUAUUUUGGGAAUUAUAAUACUAGUAUAAGACAUUACGGACAUGAAUGCAUAAAACGCGUUCAGAGACAAGAAGUGGAUUUCAUCAGUGGCGAUUAUAAUAUUACAAGCAUAAAGGAAGGAAGUAUAAAGAGAGGGGCGAAAUAUACCAGAGGGACUUAUGGACAAAGUUAAUUAACUUUCAACAGAUGUGAUAGUAGACUCACUUUUCUUUACCAGCUUUCCCGCAAGAUUAAGUAUUAGCUAAGGAGAGAUAAAUAAGAUUUAAACAGUUUUAAUAGUGAUUGUUAAACAACAAACAUUGUAGACAAAUUUGUAGAAAACAGCAGCCGAUAUUUCAAAACAGUACAUGUAAAUCCUACCAAUAAAAAGUAAUUAUUUUUAAAAAUAAUUUCCGAUUGAAAUAGAUUACCAGAAAAUAUCGUGUGUGCCAAGACAAUAGCGAGUUUUAAAACUUCGGAUGCUCUCUCAUCGUUGGACCUUAUUUUCUAGGGCCUCUGUUCAGCUGCCGUUGAUACAUAAUGAUUGUUCGCCCUGCAACGUAUACCUAUUCAGAUUCAGAUUCUGAAUUUCAGACAUGUAGCAAUUCUAUUUCAUUUUUAUACGACCGCAAAACAUUUUUUGCGUCGUAUAUUAGUGUGACGUUGUCGUCGUCGUCCGAAGACACAUUUGAUUUGGUUUCCGGACAAUUACUUUAGAAAAAGUGAAUGAAUCUCUGAAAUUUUACCAGAAUGUUCAAUAACACAAAGGGAAGGUUGGGAUUGAUUUUGGGGGUUAUGGUACCAACAGUUUAGGGGCCAAAAAAAAAGGCCAAAAACAAGCAAGUUGUAGUUUCUGGACUAUAACUUGUGUGUAAGCGUAUGGAUCUCUCUAAUAUUGUACCACAAACUCCAUAUUACGAUGGAAAGACUGGGUAUGAGUUUGGGCGUAAUUGUCCCAAAAGUCAAUUAAGGGCCAAAAAGGGGGAUAAAAAAAAGCUAUUUUGUAGUUUCUGCACAAUAACUUUUGUGUAAGUGUAUGGAUCCCUCUGAAAUUGUACAGCAAUGUUCCAUAUCUCAAUGGGGAGACUGGGUAUGAGUUUGGGGGUAAUUCAGGAAUUAGGGCAAAAACAAGAAUUUUCUAGUUUCCAGAAAAUAACUUGUGCUUCAAUGUGUGGAUCUCUCUGAAAUUAUAUAUUGCAAGGUACCAUACUUAAGAGAAGUGGGGUUGAGUUUGGGGAUAAUAACUUUAAAAGGGGGAGGAAAAAAUUGAAUUUUUUUUAAUUUUUUUGUGUUUUUUUCUUAAAAUUGUCCAUUUGAUAUAUAUAAAAGCAAAACAUACUGAUCUUUAAUUGCACAGUAUUGCGCAAUAGCACAGUAUUGUCCAGUAGCAAGUCAUAUUCUAUUGCACAUUAUUGCUUAAAGGCACAGGAAAAAAUCUUCAUGCAAUUAUAAAUAAAGACAAAUAUUUUAACCCAUUUCAAAUUCUAAUGAUCUUUCACCACAUUUAUUUUGUGUCAGAAACCUAUAUUAUGUCAAAUUUUUUAUCACAAUCCAAAUUCAGACAGUAUCAAGCUUGAAUAUUGUGUUCAAACUUGCACCAGCUAUUCUCUGCGAUCGUAUCAGGCUGCGCUCUGCGGAGCAUUUUAUUUUAAGAAGCAUUUAUAAGGAUUGUUUACUUGUUUAAAUUUUAAUAAACAUAAAUACACUGAACCAAUGUCAUUUUCUAAUUCAGCUUUUAGUUUUUACCAUAUUAAUUUUUAAGUUAAAAAUCAAAAGUGAAUUCUAAGCUUGAUAAUGCCUCCCGUUUUCUCAACUGUUCCAAAGGCCAUGUUAGCUCUCGUCAGCACUUGGCGUCUGUCAUCCAUCAUAGAUGUUCUCGUCAAAAACUGCGGAAACAAAGUCAACCAAAGUUGAUGUGAAUGAUUUUUAGGGUUCUCAAAAUUAAAUAUGAUAAUUUCAUCUCAUUUCAUUAAAGAUGCUGAAAAUAAAUAUUUAUUAGGAAUAUAUAUCUGGGAAGAUAAUGAAAUGUUAUGAUGAGUUUUCCUAGACUAGACCAGAGUAAAAACUACCUAGCCUGAAUUUGUCGAAAGCAAAAUUGCGUAAUCUGUAGGAAGUGUAGAUACACUCAAAUAAUUGUACCCUGUUGUUUAGAAAUCGUAGGUACUUUAAUAUAUGUCAGUUAUAAAGCCCGUUUAUGUAAAUACUUACUAUUCCAUACCUACAUGCAAUCUUUUAAAAGCUUUUGGAUAGCAGGGAUACAAGUUCUGCUAGAAAUGGAAUUAGACAAUAACGGGCUACAAUUCUGACCUGUAGGAAAUCACGAAGGGACAACUGGCAUGUUGACCUGAAUUAUUUGCUAAAAUAAUGGAUUAAGUAACUUCCCCUUAUUUUAGCAAUACAUGGUGUUGUUUCAUUCAGAAAACGCAUUGCAUAUUAAAAAAUCUAUUUUUUUUGAUGCCAUGAAUUAGAACGCAUGUUCAUUUCGCGAUUUGACGAUUAUAUCUUCAUUCGCGCGCAAUUUGAUAUCGCGUUUUUUUUUUUGGAUGGUGUCUAUUUAUCAUGUAAGACAUUUCUUCUAUUAAGGUAAGGUUUGCAUGAAACCUGAUUUUUUUCUUAGUGAUAUUGUACCAAUAUGAUAAAUCAUUUUGUUCAAGGAGGAGUACCCAAUCAUUUAAUGAAAAAAAAAUCGAACAUCGCCCGUCCAGUUUUUUUCAUGUGAAAAGCUCAAAAUUCCGAUAUCAACUCCCACAUUGAACACUUCCCAGUUUUAAGUACCAUUACACUAUUCUCUUAUAUUUAGACACAAGGAACAUUCUAAGUGAAAGACAUCUAGCAGCAUUCAAGAUACAUUUUUGUAGCGGUUCACUACGAAUUAUCGUAUAGCAAUACACUAUUGAUAUUUUAUAGCCAGGACAAUUCUAAGAGAGACACUACUAGGAAGGCGUGCAGUCUUAUAAUAUAACACAUUCUCAUGGUUUAAUACAAGGUACUUUCUUAUUCCAAGACGCUUUGUCCUUCCUAAUGGCUUUCCACAUGCACUAGCAUCAUUACCAUAGAUACAUUUUUAUAGCAAUACACUAUGAAUAUUUUUUGCAAUACACUAGGAACAUUAUAAGAGCAAGAUAUUAGGUACAUUCUCAUAACAUUGCACUAGGUAUACAUUUUUUUUGGUUUUACACUAGUUAUAUUUUUAUAACAAGGAACAUUCUUAUAGAAACAUUCGUAUAGUGGAAAAACUAUGUGAAUUAAGUUUUUUUAUUCUACAUUGAACUUUUGAGGUCGUCCCUAAGAACCUUCAUAUAAAAUGACACUAAUGCCAUUAUUAUAUCAUUCCAAUUAGCACAUUCUUACAGCAAUAAGCUAAGAUCAUUUUUUGUAGCAUAGCACUAGGCACAUUCUUAUAGUAUUGCACAAGGCACAUUCUUAUAGCAUUGCACAAGGCACAUUCUUAUAUCAUUCCAAUUAGCACAUUCUUAUAGAAUUGUUCAAUGAACAUUCUUAUAUCAAUCAGUGCAUAAAGCUCCUUCUUAUAGCAUUGUACUAUACACUAUCUUAUAGCAUCGCGCUAGGCGCAUUCUUGAAGCAAUGCACUAAGCUCCUUCUUAUUGCUUUACACUAGGCACAUUCUUAUAGCAUUGCACUACGCUCCUUCUUAUAUCAUUGCACUAGGCAAAUUCUUAUAGCAAGAUCAUAGAACCUUUCUAAUAGUAUAGCACUAGGCACAUGUUUAUAGUAUUGCACUAGGCACAUUCUUAUACCAUUAAACUAGGUUCAUUCUUAUAGAAUUCCGCUAGGUACAUUCUUAUAGCAUUGCACUAAGCUCCUUCUUAUAGCAUUUCACUAGGAAAAUUCUUAUAGCAUUACACUAGGUCCAUUCUUAUCGCAUUGCACUAGGCACAUUCUUAAAGCAUUGCACUAAGCUCCUUCUUAUAGCAUUGCACUAGGCACAUUCUUAUAGCAUUGCACUAGGUACCUUCUUAGAGCAUUACACUAGGUCCAUUCUUACAGCAUUUCACUAGGCACAUUCUUAUAGCAUUGCCCUAGGCACAUUCUUAUAGCAUUACACUAGGUCUAUUCUGAUAGCGUUCCACUAGGCACAUUCUAAUAGCAUUCCACAAAGCUCCUUCUUAUAGCAUAAGCUCCUUCUGAUAGCAUUCCAUUAGCACUUUCUUAUAUUAUUGCACUAGGUCUAUUCUUAUAGCAUUCAACUAGGAACAUUCUAAUAGCAUUGCACUAGGCAAAUUCUUAUAGCAUUACACUUGGUCCUUUCUUAUAGCAUUGCACUAGGCACCUUCUUAUAGCAUAACACUACGCUCUUUCUUAUAGCACUGCACUAAGCUCCUUCUUAUAGCAUUCCAUUAGGCACAUUCUUAUAGCAUUGCACUAGGCACCUUCUUAUAGCAUAAAACCAGGUCCAUUCUUAUAGCAUUGCACUAGGCACUUUCUUAUAGCAUUGCACUAGGCACCUUCUUAUAGCAUUAAACUAGGUCCAUUCUUAUAGCAUUGCACUAGGCACAUUCUUAUAGCAUUGCACUGACCUCCUUCUUAUAACAAUGCACUAGGCACAUUCUUAUAGCAUUGCACUAAGCUCUUUCUUAUAGCAUUGUACUAAGCUUCUUCUUAUAACAUUCCAUUAGGAACUUUCUUAUAGCAUUGCACUAGGUGUAUUGUUAUAGCAUUCAACUAGGCACAUUCUAACAGCAUUGCAUUAAAGUCCUUCUUAUAACAUUGCAUUAGGCACAUUAUUAUAGCAUUGCACUAGGCACCUUCUUAUAGCAUAACACUAGGUCCAUUCUUAUAGCAUUGCACUAGGCACAUUUUUAUAGCAUUGCACUAAGAUCGUUCUUAUAACAUUGCACUAGGCACAUUCUAUAGCUUAACAGCAUUGCACUAAUUCUUAUAGCAUUGCACUAGGCACAUUCUUAUAGCAUUGCACUAAGCUCUUUCUUAUAGCAUUGUACUAAGCUUCUUCUUAUAACAUUCCAUUAGGCACUUUCUUAUAGCAUUGCACUAGGUGUAUUGUUAUAGCAUUCAACUAGGCACAUUCUAAUAGCAUUGCACUAAGGUCCUUCUUAUAACAUUGCAUUAGGCACAUUAUUAUAGCAUUGCACUAGGCACCUUCUUAUAGCAUUCUUAAAACUAGGUCCAUUCUUAUAGCAUUGCACUAGGCACAUUCUUAUAGCAUUACACUAGGUCCAUUCUUAUAGCAUUGCACUAGGCACCUUCUUAUAGCAUAACACUAGGUCCAUUCUUAUAGCAUUGCACUAGGCACAUUUUUAUAGCAUUGCACUAAGACCCUUCUUAUAACAUUGCACUAGGCACAUUCUAAUAGCAUUGCACUAAUGUCCUUAUACUAAGCUCUUUCUUAUGGCACUGCACUAAGCUCCUUAUCGCAUUCUAUCAGGCACAUUCUUAUAACAUUGCACUAGGCACCUUCUUAUAGCAUAAAACCAGGUCCAUUCUUAUAGCAUUGCACUAGGCACAUUCUUAUAGCAUUGCACUUAGCACUUCAUUGCACUAGGCACCUUCUUAUAGCAUUACACUAGGUCCAUUCUUAUAGCAUUGCACUAGGCACCUUCUUAUAGCAUUACACUAGGUCCUUUCUUAUAGCAUUGCACUAGGCACCUUCUUAUAGCAUAACACUAGGUCCAUUCUUAUAGCAUUGCACUAGGCUCUUCUUAUAGCAUUGCACUAAGCUCCUUCUGAUAGCAUUCUCAGGCACAUUCUUAUAGCAUUGCACUAGGCACCUUCUUAAUAGCAUAAUAGGUCAUUCUUAUAGCAUUGCACUAGGCACAUUCUUAUAGCAUUGCACUAGGCACCUUCUUAUAGCAUUACACUAGGUCCAUUCUUAUAGCAUUGCACUAGGCACAUUCUUAUAGCAUUGCACUGACCUCCUUCUUAUAACAAUGCACUAGGCACAUUCUUAUAGCACUGCACUAAGCUCUUUCUUAUAGCACUGCACUAAGCUCCUUCUUAUAGCAUUCCAUUAGGCACAUUCUUAUAGUAUUGCACUAGGCACCUUCUUAUAGCAUAAAACUAGGUCCAUUCCUAUAGCAUUGCACUAGGCACAUUCUUAUAGCAUUACACUAGGUCCUUUCUUACAGCAUUGCACUAGGCACCUUCUUAUAGCAUAACACUAGGUCCAUUCUUAUAGCAUUGUACUAGGUACAUUCUUAUAGCAUUGCACUAAGAUCCUUCUUAUAACAUUGCACUAGGCACAUUCUAAUAGCAUUGCACUAAUGUCCUUCUAAUAACAUUGAACUAGGCACAUUCUUAUAGCAUUGCACUUCUGCUAUGAGUCAAAUCAAUUUGCUGUUUUGCUGUUAUUGGGUACUUGUUAUCUGCUAUGAGUCAAAUCAAUUUGCUGUUUUGCUGUUAUUGGGACCCCCUUACCCCCCCCCUCAAUAAAGAUAUCAGAUAAAUCAAUCUUUUAGAACAUCGUGUGUAUAUAAAAACAACAAGAUAUAGCAUGAUUGCAAAUGAUACAACUCGAGACCAAAUGACAUAAGAAUUGACAACUAUUUGUCACUGUACGAACUUCAACAAUGAGCAUAUUUCAUACCGGAUGGUAAUAUGUGAAGGUCCCGAAAUGACUCAUGUAAAACAAUUAAAACGAAAAAACCAAAGGCCUGAGUUAUGAUUUAUGGACGAAACAAACAUGAUACACAGCAACAAACGACAACCUCUGAAUCACAUGCAGAAUGUGGCGAGGUUAAACAUGAUUACUAGCACCAAACCCUUCCCUAAUCUUGGAAGAACUAUACAAUCAGUAGAAAAUGGCUUAACUCAUCAGACCUAGACAAAUCACAUAAAAACCUCAUAGCUAGUGAGUAGAUCAUUUAUUAUAGUGACAUGUGUAGCAUAAAUUAUAUUACAUAAUAAAAAUACAAAAGUUAUUUCAAAUUACACCCAGUCCGUUGGACCUAUAAGUCACUGUAUCAACCAGAAAAGAAUAUAAUGUAUAGGUUAUAAGAUAGAUAUAUCAUAGAAUAAAUACCAUAUAUAUUUCGAUGAAUUUAAUUCGGAUUUGAACAGAAAAUAUUUGAAAAUAAACAUCAUUGAGAUGGAGGCCAUCUCUGUGGGCCCGCUGUAAAUAACGUGUGUUAACAAAAUUAUAUUGAUAAGCUGCUAUGAAGCACUUGUUUACGUUACUACAGUCUCGUUAUGUGCUGAGAGUACUUUUAUUCUAUGUUUUUUUUAGUUCAAAUGGUAUACUAGUAAUUGGCAAUUUAAUGAAACUGAUAAAUAUCCUUAACUUAAUUUUGUAGUAUAAGAGUGACAGACGGACGGACGGACGGACGGACAUACCUUUGACUUGGGAAGCUGUACAAAUUUUAUAACACACCCUUUGGUGUUCCAGUUAAUAUACAAUGUCAGGACUACUAACACAAAGGCUCCUGUUCGAUCCCCGGUUCGGGGACUGUAUUUGCGGCUCUCCCUUGACACCAUUUGCGAGUAUGGUCUUGAGGAAACAAUGAUAGUACGUCGGAAGGGGACGAUAACUGGCUGACUUGUGUUAAGAAAGAGCCAUAUCUCUUGCACGUCAAAGACACUCUUGUAGACUUCGAAAAAGAGCAGGCUAAUGCCGCUACAAGGCACCAAUCGCACCCGCAAAGUGGAAAGGGAUUAAUAUAAGUUACAAAACUUGUUUCCCAAUCCACUAUAAAUAAAUAUGUUUAAACUAAGUACAAAGUAUGAAAUGAUAACGGUUCUCUGGAUAUCGAGCGGGCACAGGUUGCUACGGACGAGACAGACAAACGGACAGACUGAAAGACGGAACCCUAAUAAAUACUUUAAUAAAGUAUAUUUUUAAAAGUAUCCAAGAUAAUUUUUUUAAUUAUUCAAUAGAAUAUAUGAGCUAAGGAAAGGGGGGGGGGGGGGCUACUGACUGACCUAAGGGGGUCCGCUCCAGUCAUGCUUCAGUGAUUCCCUAUUUAAUCAACCAAAUUUUUUUUUCACAAAAGGGGGACCCCCCCCCCCCCGGAUCCUGGAUCCGCCUAUGCAAACUUACUUUAUCAUUUUAAGGGCAUUUUUCAUUAUCUUUAAAAUAAUGCGUUCUGUAAAAUUAUCAGGACAAUGAUUUUUACUAUUUUUUCUUUAAUUGGACGAUUUCUUUAUUCUGUACAUCGUUAUUACUUUCUGUAAUCAGUAUUUCUUUACCUAAUUAUUUUUAUUUUUCAUUUGUUUAUUCUUUUUUUGCACCAAACUUACAAACUACUUUAAGAUUUAGUUACAUUUCAAAACUCAUAAAAAUUUUAACGUCUUUUUUUUCGCGGACUUUUUGACGUCGCUGACUAUUUUGGUCCGACUAUUGUGACGCCACCUAUUUAUGUCGUCCUGCGAUUGUUGAUGACAGAGUUUGGUGACAACGGACGUUUCCUGGACGUUACAUACGGGAAAACACACAAAGGGGAAAGUCGUCAAAACAUGAAAGCAUACGCAAACGAUGAUACGGAUUUGUUGACAGCCAUUUCCAGUUAUCAAGUAAGUAGUUAUACAAAAUGUCUAAAAUAUUUGACUUGUUAUAAUUCAUGGGGGCUUCAAGUUAUAUAGAUUUUACCACGAGCUAAUUCCGAACGACAUCAGAAAUAUCCAAGUCGUCGUAAAAUCAAUAUAUACGUACAUUCAAGCCCCAGUGAAUAAUUUCUUAAGCACACUCAUUUAAAAUUUGAUUAUUCAUCGCUUUCUUUUGACGCCCAGUGGCAAAUAUUGCACGCAUUUCCAGGAUGGUUAAAGAAAAGUAAGGGAUAUAAAAAAAUGGAGGAUUCCGUUACCACAACGAAAAAUGAUAAAGGAUAUCUAUACGGAGAAGGAAAAGUUUUAACUCCAAUUCUAUGAUCAUACUGUAUAGAAGGGAUGUAUAGAAUGCUCUUUAUAUAUUUAUACGAUCACUUGAUUAUAAAAGUAAUCAUAAAUUCCAUGCUAAAACUGUGUUGAUAGAAACCAAUGAUUUAUAAGUAACGCCUGGAUAUGGGCCUUCUUUUUCAUGAGGGAUCCCUGUACUUUAUAGUUAGGGUUCAUAUAUGGUUAGGGUUAGGUUAGGGUUUGUUCUCGGUAAAGGUAAGGUUUAAUGUCUAGGUGAAAAUUUAGAAACGGAUGACUAAAAUGAAUAUACAAAGUAUUCAGACUUUUAAUGCACAUCAAUAUUGUGAUACUUUGACGAUUUUUUAAAAUGUAUAUAUAGUUCGAAGUGGGGAAAAACCUGUAUGUCCAAACCUAGUGACCAGUCAUCACUAGUCCUUUUAACUUAACAACGUAAGGAUUAAUUUUUUUUUGUAUAUAAUCAAAGGAGUAUUAGCUGUCAAAUUCAUGUUCAUCGAUAUGAAUCUAAGUCUAAUAUUUGAUCUAUGACAUACUAAAACAUCGAUAUGAAUCUAAGUCUAAUAUUUGAUCUAUGACAUACUAAAACAUCGAUAUGAAUCUAAGUCUAAUAUUUGAUCUAUGACAUACUAAAACAUCGAUAUGAAUCUAAGUCUUAUAUUUGAUCUAUAACAUACUAAAACAUCGAUAUGAAUCUAAGUCUUAUAUUUGAUCUAUGACAUACUAAAACAUCGAUAUGAAUCUAAGUCUAAUAUUUGAUCUAUAACAUACUAAAACAUCGAUAUGAAUCUAAGUCUAAUAUUUGAUCUAUGACAUAAUAAAACAUAUAGAUCUCCUAAUUAUAAAUAGUUUAAAUUAAAUAAUUUACAAAGCAUGGGCUCAUUUCUAAAAAAAGUAAAAUAACAAAAAAUCCGAAAUCAGAGGACAAUUCAAAAUUGAAAUGACAAAAUCAUCAAAAGCUCAAACAAAUCAACGAUUGGAAAACAGCUGUCAAAUUCAUGACUUGGUACAGGCAUUUUGUAUAUGUAGAAAAUGGUAGAUUAAAACUGGUUUUAUAUCUAUCUAAAUACUCGUAGUGUUUGUAAUAUUGAUGAAUUAUGUAGAUAUUAAUGGUUUUUUUUUUUAUAUCUGAAAUAAAUGAAGUAGAAUCAUAACGGAACGUCUUUUUAUUUCAUUGUAGUUGUAGACACUACAAAUCUAUCACGGAGAAUGGCAAAGGGACCAUGUGCAAUUCAUAAACAAGACCAAAUUUGUGUAAUACUGGUGGAGGGACAUUAUGACAUACGUGAUUAGACAUGAUAGUGUACAGACCUUUAUUAUUCUAUUGGUGAUUGGAUAUCUAUAACUUUGAACUAAAUGUGUGUGCUCUAUUCAUUGGAAGAAAAUAUACAGAUACAUAUCCAUACCCUGACGUAAGUAUUGAAUUUUUUUUUAUUUCCAUCUGAUAACCAGUAUGAAUAACUCUCAUGAUAUCAUUGGACUAAUUUUCAAUCGCCUCUUUUCCAUUGCCAUUGAUUUCAUAUACAGGUCCUACAACGUACCUAUUUAGAUUCUGAUUCAGAUAACUGCAUCCGAUAUCAACCUGACAAGAAUAAUAAUAAUAAAUGUGUAAUUAUAUUAAAACCAAUGAUGACCCUUAAACUGUAGAAACAUAUGUUGUAUAUCAAAUGGUCUACAAGACCAACGUUACACAAACUCUGGGACUAAUACAUUGAAUUUUAUCUAUUAGUCCCAGUCAAACUAUAGUUGCAGUAUAAAACAUUGUAUUCAUUUUGACUGGGAUAAGUUCUCAGCGAUGAAGACAGGACUUUUGCAUUAUUUCAAUAGAGAUAAGAACCAAAUAUGCAUACAACAUGGUAAUUGGAGAUUCAAAACAUUGGCAAACAUUCAUGUGUAACAGUAAAUACAGUAGAUAUUUGUAAAGUUCAUCAUCUAUAGUACACAAGUCCUCAUCUCAUCUUGGACCAAAAGAUAAAGGGAAAUUCAUUCGCUUACGAUUAUUUUUCAAUUUCAUUGUCUCCUCAAAUUUACAUGUAAAUGGUGUUUUGAUGGCAUUUUUCUGUUCAAAUCCGAUGAUACAUCAUCAUCAUCAUACUUUAUUUCCUCCUAAAGGAGAUUGACAAAAUGCAUAUAAAUUAUGUACAAUUACAAAGUUUUGAAAUUAGAUAAUAGAAUUAAUGUCACUAAAUAAGACGAUAAAAAGAAGAAGAAACACCCAUGUACAAAUAAAUACAUUUCAUUCAAUAAGGUAAGACCAUGUUAGAAGUAAACAUUAUACAGUUUUCCUUAUAUAGUGAAAGGGAUGGGGAUCAGGACCUUUUUUUCGGGACGUCGGGAUCAGGUGGUUUUAAUCUCGGGAUUUCGGGAUUAACCCUUUCGGGAUCCGGGAAUUCUUCUUUUGAAGUUCGGGAUGCCGGAAUUUAUUUCUUUUAAAUUCGGGACCUCGGGAUUUCAUGUUUUAAAAUCCGGGAUUUCGGGAUCAGGACACCUCUGACCCUCUGGUUUACUUUUAUAAAUUUUUAUUUGGAUGGAGAGUUGUCUUAUUGGCACUCAUACCAUUAGAAUAAGUUUAUCCAAUUAUUGAUAAGUUUACCAUGAUCGUAUCUAAAUUUCCGGGCUCCGUAAACACUAUGAUCACCAUAAUAAUAAGGAUGUGCUGUUCCGUUUGAUUUAGUUUUGCACAGUUUAGGGAACCCACCAUGACUCCCUAACUUGAGACAAUGGUACAAUAGUACAACAUAAGAACAGAUCGAUCAAGGAGCCUGUAGUUCAUAAAGAUGCUUAUUUCUUAUGUAUAUAUUUCCCAUGUUACUAAUCUGCCAUAAAAGUUAGUUAAAUUAUUUUAUUUUUUCAGAAUCACUGAUAAAAUCUUCUUCCCACGUUUGAUAAUUAACCUUAUCUUUCUUAACGGGAUUCCAUUCGUACUUGCCUUGGGGUGGUCGCCGAAGAAAUUUUAACUAAAUAUAUCAUAGUUAAAGUCACUGCAUGCGGAAAAGAUGUCGGCAAAAAGGAGUACAAGAUAAUAAUUCAAUAGCAGUAUCUUAUUGAAGAUUUGGAUCAAAUAAAGGAUUUCUCUCAAAAGGAAGUUUAUGUGCACGUGUUUUAAAAUAAAAC